Molecule: RNA transcript, 2140 nt
Organism: Eriocheir sinensis (Chinese mitten crab)
Lineage: Eukaryota; Metazoa; Arthropoda; Malacostraca; Decapoda; Varunidae
Gene: Pyroxd1
Gene name: pyridine nucleotide-disulfide oxidoreductase domain-containing protein 1-like
Exons: 12
Source: RefSeq, a predicted model, not a curated record
CAAACGUCACCCUCGGCACGUGCGUGAGAGGGCGGACGGAGGACGGCUGUACGUGCAUCCGGGGCGUGUCUGGGUUCCGUGGGGUCAACAAUCGGCUUGCAGGUCAUGGCACAGCGUUGAGGAAGUAAUGGGACACCGGAUUAUCUUCACACUUACACGGACACUAUUAUAGUGAACCCCUCCACAAUGGAAGAACCUGAAGCAGAGGAAUACACCUAUAUUGUGAUUGGUGGAGGCAUAGCAGGUGUCACUUGUGCUGAACACCUGUACAUUCUACACCCUGAGGUCAGAACACUAGUCCUCACUGCCUCACCUCUCAUCAAGGCAGUCACCAAUGUGCUGCCUCUUACCAAGACUCUUGACUUCUUUGAAGUGGAAGAACAGCUACCAGAGACUUUACAAAGCAAAUGUCCAAAUGUGAAAGUGUUACGAGACACUCUGGUUCACUUGGCAGCAGAAAAGAAGCUCAUUUUCACCUCCUCUGGUAGAUGUUAUUCCUAUCAACAACUUUGUAUCUGCACUGGUGGCAGUCCUAAACUUCUAGCAGAGAAAGGUCCACAUGUAGUGUGGCUGAGGGAUACAGAGUCAGCCCAGCAGUUUCAGACUCGAAUUAAAGAUGCAAGACGAAUCAUGAUUGUAGGAAAUGGAGGCAUUGCUACAGAGAUGGUCUAUGAAGUCACAGGAGUGGAAAUCAUCUGGGCCAUAAAGGACAAGCAUAUGAGUGCCACCUUCAUUGAUCCUGGAGCAGCUCAGUUCCUGCAGCCUGAACUGACCAAGGAAAAAGUAGCAGCUCCAAUUCCAAGCAAAAGGGCGAGAUACACAGUUGAAAAAUCUGAGGUAUCAGGAACAUCCACACUUGGGGGAGCUCUAGGACCUGACUGGCUGUCUGGGCUCGAUUUAAAAGGAAAAACUCAACGCAGAGUUAUCAUGGAAACUGAAGUGGAAGUCAAAAGCAUUCUUGAGCCAGAGGAAAUCAAGAAUCUGGAGUCACAAAUAAAUCAAAGUUCUGAGGAGGGAAAGUGGCCGGUCUACGUCCAGCUGACAAAUGGGAAAAUAUAUGGCUGUGACUUCAUCGUUUCAGCAAUAGGAGUGACACCCAACAUUGCAAGUGUUAUGCCAGGAAAUAAUUUUUCCCUUGGAGAGGAUGGCGGGCUGUUGGUGGACGAAAAGAUGAAGACAACCAUGGAGAAUGUGUUUGCAGCGGGCGACGUGUGUUCACCUGGCUGGCCAUUGGCUCCACACUGGUUCCAGAUGCGUCUCUGGACUCAGGCACGGCAAAUGGGGUCCUAUGCAGCCAAGUGUAUGUGGUCAGCCCAAGUUGGGGAAGAAAUCUAUAUGGACUUCUGUUUUGAGCUUUUUUCCCAUGCCACCAAGUUUUUUGGGCACAAAGUUAUCCUCUUGGGGCUCUUCAAUGGGCAACGCUUGGAUGGAAAGUAUGAAAUCUUGCUCAGAUUCACUCAAGGUAUGGAGUACAUCAAAUGUGUAAUGGUAGAUGGUAAGAUGCAAGGAGCUGUGCUCAUUGGGGAAACUGAUAUGGAGGAAACAUUUGAAAAUUUAAUCCUCAAUCAAAUGGAUUUAUCCGUGUAUGGCGAGGAUCUCCUCAACCCAGACGUUGAUAUUGAAGACUACUUUGACUAAUGGAUUGCACUGAAGUCCCACCCACUCAUAUUAAGAGAAAGAUUACACAGCAUUAACUUUUGUGGCCAGGGACUGUGUGUCCUGCACAGGUGUCGACAAUGCCAUACACUCACGCUGAGGGAGUCCAUAACACCAUAGGACAAGCCAGUCCGCCAUAGGAAUUCUUGACAAGACCCACCAUUGUUCUGCACUACGGUACCCAGAAAACCGGGACUGCAGCAACACAAUAAGGAUUUCCUAGAACAUAUCAACCAAGCACCAUCUGAAAGUUAGCAAUAAAAACAUGUUAAAAAGUUUUCUCUUUAAUUUCCUUGAUUUACCGAUUCAAAGAGCUACGUGCUUUCAAUGGUAAAGAAAUACAAUGAGUAUAGACAGUCUGCGAGGAUUUUUCCAGCAGAUGGCACUCAUGUCUUGGGACGUUGGGUGAUGAGUUCUUUGUGCAGUGCAAGGUGGCAGUUUUGUAUUUUUACAUGAAAACUAAUGUAAUAAAGUGACAUGGAAC